GAUAAACGCUGGCGGCGCACAUAAGACAUGCAAGUCGAACGGACUUAAUCGAAAUAUUUAUAUUUUGAAGCGGUUAGUGGCGGACUGGUGAGUAACGCGUAAGGAACCUACCUAUUACAGGGGGAUAACAGUUAGAAAUGACUGCUAAUACCGCAUAAGCGCACAGUGCUGCAUGGCACAGUGCGAAAAACUCCGGUGGUAUGAGAUGGACCCGCGUCUGAUUAGCUAGUUGGUGGGGUAACGGCCUACCAAGGCGACGAUCAGUAGCCGGCCUGAGAGGGUGAACGGCCACAUUGGGACUGAGACACGGCCCCAA
Molecule: ribosomal RNA, 316 nt
Filed under: uncultured bacterium
Lineage: Bacteria
Description: bacterial SSU rRNA
Rfam family: Bacterial small subunit ribosomal RNA
Source: RNAcentral